UUUUUUUUGGAUUUUAUGGCCUGGUUACGAGACCUUUAAGCCAAGUCUUUAUUUUAAUUACACUGCACUACUAUUAAAGUUUUAACACUGUGUUUUUAAUGUAUUUGUAUAUUGGUUGAUAUGUUUGACUGUCUUUUAGUAGAUUAUUAAGCGGCGGCGGGCGGGAGGAAAAAUCACUAUUAUUUUUAAACACUUCAUUUAGUUCACUGGCAAGCACUAAUCUGUCAAUAAGAAACUUCUGACACUUAAAUAUAAGGUGGUUAACGGUUCCUUCUUCAGCUUCACAGAAAGUACAGAUAUUGUUUUGUAUCAAUCCAAGUCUGGCAAGGUGUGAUGGUGCAGCAUUGUGUCCGUAGCGCAACCGGUUUAUAGUAGUGAUAAAAUCUCGACUGGCUUUUUGCAGAAAAAUGUGAAACAACAUUGGAGAGUUGCCAAGAAGAAGACCCUCUCCAGUUGCCAAGGAACCAGACACAUUAACUCUAUGAGGUCGGAGAUGAGUGAAAUGAAACUAUCAGCGCAACUUCGCCCUCGACGAAAGCCGUACUGCAAAUAUGGAAUGAUACCAUUAGCCUCCACAAACCAAUCUAAACGGACUUUAAUCAUGUUUUCAAAUA
This is a long non-coding RNA of Cydia amplana, 614 nucleotides long. RefSeq lists it as uncharacterized. NCBI's taxonomy places the organism in Eukaryota, Metazoa, Arthropoda, Insecta, Lepidoptera, Tortricidae. The transcript has 3 exons. The record is from RefSeq and is a predicted model, not a curated record.